UACGUAGGGGGCAAGCGUUGUCCGGAUUUAUUGGGCGUAAAGAGCGUGUAGGCGGCCAGGCAGGUCCGCUGUGAAAACUCGAGGCUCAACCUCGAGAGGUCGGUGGAAACCGUUUGGCUAGAGUCCGGAAGAGGAGAGUGGAAUUCCCGGUGUAGCGGUGAAAUGCGCAGAUAUCGGGAAGAACACCCGUGGCGAAGGCGGCUCUCUGGGAUGGUACUGACGCUGAGACGCGAAAGCGUGGGGAGCGAACAGG
RNAcentral lists this ribosomal RNA (253 nucleotides) under uncultured bacterium. RNAcentral describes it as "partial 16S ribosomal RNA". It matches the Rfam family "Bacterial small subunit ribosomal RNA", at positions 524 to 776 of the family's 1533-position model. The record is from RNAcentral.